UGUACUCCUCUUCUUCUCCAUCCCCCAAAUUGUCCUCCACCUCCGCCUAUGUUCUUCCUCUGCCUGCGACGCGUGCUACCUGAAGAGCGAAGGCCGUCGAGUGGGCUCCGAUCAACGGAAUCGCAAAAACGGCACCAAGCCCAUCCAGAUCGGAAGACCGGUUCUCCUUUUACACGGGUUAAUUGUACCUCAUGCCGCCGUAAUCAGGGAUUCAUGACGCUGGUAACGCCUUAAUGAUCGAUUCAUGACGCUGGUAAUUUGGAACCAUUAUUUCGAGCGUUACUCUCAGUUUUCCCUUCUCUUUCAUGUAUAAAUAUGUGGACACAGCUAACGUCUUUCCUCACUACACCCAUCUCACAUUGGACGUCCCAUUAGUAAUCUGAGAUGCUGCUUGCUUAGGGAUUGUCAUCAUCCUAUUUUCCAAAUUAUUAUUCCCGGAUUCAUCUCACCAGUGUGACCUUUAUUUAUUAUUAUUUCACAAUGGCUGCUGGACAGGUACAUUUGCUGACAUAUUCUUUUGAGAUUAUUUGUUCCUUCUCCUUUAAACUAGCUUCAUACUGUCUGCUACUACAUACUUUCCAAAAAUUAAUCAAACAUGUCCAUCUAAGUACAUCCUUCUAUGUGCACGACCUAGGCGAGGUUUUAUUAUCAGUUGUCUGCAUAAGUACAAGCCACGAAACCAACUAUUUUCCUUCUCCUUACUCUCAACAUGAACGGGAUGUGUUCUCUAUAUUUCUGCAUUUUUUUUAAGUUGUUACUACGUACACUGAGGAAUUGAGGAUAUUCCAGAUUUGAGUCUUGUCCUUGAUGAAGGUAUAUUUCUUGGUAAUUUUAAAACAUGGAUUCGAAUUUGAUCUACUCUGUACUAUCUUUAUGUUCCCCUGGGCAUCAUUCUGGUUUUGUAGGGAUUAGAGGGUGAAGAUCAUGCUUUUUUUGUUAAUGCUGAUUCCAUCUCACUACUUUGUUUCCUUGCACGGAGUGAUUUUCUGAUCAACACCCUGAAUAAGAAUUGUGACAAUGCUCCUCUGCUCCCCUAUGGCACUACCUUGUUCCAAUGCUGGGAUGUCUCUUAAUAUCGCUGCAGCGACCAGGUCCCAUCGGAUUAUUCGCUCUUACCAAUUGGUCUCGUGUUUGCCAUGGAGACGGAGAAGAAGGCUGUAAUGACGUCAGCGGAACAGGGUGCCCCCGGCGCGGUGAAUACUGCGACCGGCUUCUGCAUGCGGAUGUCAGGUUCUUCCCGAUCUCCCAUUCUUGUGCUUGCGGCCGUAGUCUCGAUGAGAUUUUUGUGCUUGGCAAUCGAGCAUCUCGAUGGUGUUAUUUAGAUUUAGUUAUGCCUCCAGCUCUGAUUCUUCGAGUAACAUUGUGGUUUAUUGAUUUUCUUAGGAGCUACUCCUGAAUCCUUUUUUUUUUGAGAAGGAAUAGCUGCGAUUUUAUUACGACAGGUCUGAAUCUAGUACAAUCUGGUUCCUAAUACACAACGGAACAGAAUCAUACCACACAUUACAAAGUUUAUUCUACUCCUGAAUCCUGAUUCAUGCGAGGGUGCUGCACAAGUUGGAAUAAUGCAUAUGACAGUGUCCUGCUGAGUAAGGAUGCAAUGAACCGAGCUUUCAAUUGUACAUCUACGCGGUGAUUAUUAAUGACUGGGUAGGAUAAACAAAAUGUGAUCUUGUUAUUGAUAUGAUUCCUAUGCAGUUUUUGGUUGUCAGGUCUUCCCAAUUUGAGACCAAAUGAAUUUACACACCAUGGGUGUGAUAGUUUGUUUCCGGUACUUGAGAUUCUCGAUCUCUACCUAUUUCCUGUAGGGAUAUUCCAAAUUUUCUUAUUGACAUGUUGCGUGUCAAGUUCUCUUUAAAGAAAAAAAAAAGUGUAACUGAUGUAACCCUAUGCAUAUAUGUUAUAUUGCAGGAAAGUUCUUACGUAUCCUGUUUUAUUCACGUGCCCUUCUCUUCUAAUUGGUCAGUGCAUUCAAGAUUUUUGUACUAAUUCGCCAUUAUAAUUCCUACAUCUGUAUGGCUUCUUAUAAUAAUUUUCUCUAAAUUGUCAGCCGAACAAAUAUCCAAGUACCGCUGUAUGCAGGUGUUCCAUAGAGUACCACCCAUAUAAACCUGUUGAUAGCAAUGGUUCAGAAAAUAUUGUUUGACUUUGACAAGCUAGCUUCGUAUGGUCUUAUUGUGGAUCUUUAUUUCUGCGUUUACAAUGUUUGCUUUAAUACAGUUUUCUUUUUACCAUUUUAGUUAUCUCUGACAUCUAAACAAACUAAAUGAUAUGAAUUAUCAACAUGCUGAGAAUGCAAAGAGUUUAGGCUUAGCAGAUGUGUUCUUGCUAUUCGCCAUGCCAUUUGAUUCAUCACAGGUACAUUCUGGGCUAGCUGAUAUUUUCUAUGUGUUUUUCCCAAAAAGAAGGUUGAAUCCCCGGCCUCUACAUCAAAAUAAUGCACACAACCCGCUUUAUUAAAGUUGAAGUAAGGCAACCAUGCCAAACUCAUCGGCAGUUAAAUUACAUAACGUGAACAACUAGGGGAACAUAUAUUUCCAGAGUUAGAACUAUUUGAUAUCUUGUUCUGGUCUUUAUUAAAGUAUAUGUAAGGCAACCAUACCAAACUCAUCAGCAAUAGAUUAUAUAACGCAAACAACUAGGGGAACUUAUAUUCUGAGGCUAAUGCAGUCGAGUGAUAUUUUUAGAACUAUUCGAUAUCUUGUUCUAUUCGAUAUGUAAGCCUUAUAAACCCAUCUCACUGAUAUUUGUUAACACAUUUUUUCAUUUAUUAUUAAUGUUAGAAUCUAAUAUCUUUUGUUAUUGGUGUUGUUCCAUGUUUACAUAUCUAUGUACUACAGUGACUCAAUUCCUGGUAGGAAAUUAAUACAUCAACCCACUUAGUUCACUAAUCCCAUUUAGCUAGGGCUUGCAUUUAAGUGUUAAUCUUUGUCUGGGUCCUGGACGUGAGGCAGGUGUACAAACAACAAUUUCUUUGUCAUCUUGAUUAGUGCCUAUUUCCCAGUUCAUACUUUGACUGCUUCUAAAUUUCUGUACUUAACCCUUUUAUCUAAGGUUUGGGGUAUACAACUGAUCUGCAGCUGCAUGCAUGCCGGGAUUUACUCCAUGUUAUCCAAACUGUCUUCUCCUCAUCAGUAAGUGAACUUUUUGAAAACAUGUGACUGCUCGAAAUUGUACAUUCUUCUUGGUACUUCAUAGGACAAUGAAAGAUUCACUACUUUGAUACCCUGUCCUGAAGGAUUACCCUUGAACUUUUCAAUGAUAGUAAUUUAAAUUAUUCUUAAAUAAGUUUCUUUAUAUGAAGUGGUUACAGUAAUCUUGAAGAGAGCAUACUGUAAAUGAGAAAAAAUCUUUUGAAAAUGGAUGUUAGAAUAUAUACGACAAGAGGUUGUAGAAGUUAUUUGCAUUGCUUCUCUAUGGAAAUUUAAUAAAUGUUACUGAAUUGAUUGCAGUGCUUGUAUUCGUCAUUCUUAUGUCAGAGCCUCAUUUUGACGCUUAUGAUUUAUUUAACUUCUGUUGGUUUUUCCCUCAGGGGGUAUACUAUAAAACCUCCAAUACGUGGUAUAACUUUGUACCUAGAUUCUAUCAAGUGAGAAUCCUUCAGUCUCUUUUUGACAUACAAGAGAACCAUGGAAGUGCUGAUUCAGAAAUUCUAGCAAUUGUGUAUGGCUAGCACGAUGUAUUUGUUGCCAGAAAUUUAUUAUCCAUUCUGACUCCA
Lolium rigidum is the source of this 3715-nucleotide long non-coding RNA. RefSeq lists it as uncharacterized. The record is from RefSeq and is a predicted model, not a curated record. Lineage: Eukaryota; Viridiplantae; Streptophyta; Magnoliopsida; Poales; Poaceae. The transcript has 3 exons.